GACGAACGCUGGCGGCGUGCUUAACACAUGCAAGUCGAACGGAAAGGCCCUGCUUUUGUGGGGUGCUCGAGUGGCGAACGGGUGAGUAACACGUGAGUAACCUGCCCUUGACUUUGGGAUAACUUCAGGAAACUGGGGCUAAUACCGGAUAGGAGCUCCUGCUGCAUGGUGGGGGUUGGAAAGUUUCGGCGGUUGGGGAUGGACUCGCGGCUUAUCAGCUUGUUGGUGGGGUAGUGGCUUACCAAGGCUGUGACGGGUAGCCGGCCUGAGAGGGUGACCGGGCACAUUGGGACUGAGAGACGGCCCAGACUCCAACAGGAGGCAACAGUGGCGAAUAUUGCACAGUGGGAGGAAGCCUGAUGAAGCAACGCCGCGUGCGGGAUGACGGCCUUCGGGUUGUAAACCGCUUUCGCCUGUGACGAAGCGUGAGUGACGGUAAUGAGUAAAGAAGCACCGGCUAACUACGUG
RNAcentral lists this ribosomal RNA (468 nucleotides) under uncultured bacterium. Its description in RNAcentral is "partial 16S ribosomal RNA". It matches the Rfam family "Bacterial small subunit ribosomal RNA", at positions 28 to 507 of the family's 1533-position model. The record is from RNAcentral.